AUGCCCAGGACCCACCCCAGGCCAGUUAAGCAAGGAUUACGGGUGUGCGAAGAAAGCUGCUCAAAUGAAUCUAAUGUGAAGCUAGCUGAGAACCAGAUGGCUCAGACUUUGAAGCUGGAGAUGGACGCGGGGAGAAAGGAGGUGUUUGGUCUCAUACCCCGAGGAAGACGGUGUAUUGGAAGCUGCUCCUCGGUGUCUCCUGAUCGUCGGCAUGCACACGUGGGUGUGUGGAAGUCCCCAGAGAUCUCACGGAAACAGGCCGUUCUGCAGCUCUGCAGUGGAGCGCGACAGUGUGCACGUCCACCGCCUUCCCAGGGGCCAUAACGCAUAAAACAGAUGCAGGUGGAGCUGCUGCGGUUGGAAUGGGGGCUGGGUCCUCCCGGGAGGAACAAACGCUGGCGCUCUACAGAACUCAGUUUGUGAGCUAUCAGGUGAAUCCACAGCCCCGCCACCACACCAAGAAAUCAGAGGUGGGUGUGUCUUCCUUUAUAAAUCACGUUGGAUGUAUCUGCAGGUUAACUAGAUACCUGACUGCCUUCCAGACAGAAGGAUGACUCACACUGUCACUCCCCGUGAUUUUGAUCCUAGAACCAUUCCUGAUUUCCUAGAAACAAAGAGUCAAGGCCAGAAUUGAACCAUGGAGGCAAACAAUAUCCCAGUCCCCAGAAAGAAACACACAGUAACAGCACAAAGUUACCUAAAACAACCUGGGUCAAGCCUGCUUCUAAACGCCUGCUGCAUGCUGCUUCUCUGCGCUAUGAGGUGGCGCCUUCUGACGCGAGCCUAAGGCACAGAGAGCUUCAGUAACUUCUCCAUGGUCUCUGCUUAUUCAACGAUGAAGCGAAAGGAUCGGUCUAAUCCAGUGGCGGUGAACCCACGGCAGGUGUCCCACAGAGGACUGUUGGCAUCAUGGAAAGUUCUGAAGGAUUUGCCAUCCCUGGGUUCGUCUGCCCCGUGAUUGGGUUCGUAAGUCCUCUUUGAUGAGGAUAGCUCUAAAAGUUCCCAUCCCGAUGUUGAUGCUUUCUACUUUAGAGAGUUCUUUUUUCUCUUUGCUUCUGCUGCUUUUCCAAGAAGUUGAGAAAUCUGCGGCCCCUUCUCCUGUGGACUGACACUAUUCACCUCGCAGAAUCCAUCUGCGGACAGCAACUGUAGGUCACAGUCCAAGUCGCUCCCCAUUUUCAUCCUUGUAGAGAGUGAACUGCGAUGCGGAACUAUCUUUAGUGCUCAGAGCAGAGCUCUUGGAGGCUGCUCGUGGUAUCGGAGCUCGAGCCAAAUAAAGGUUAUUUCUGGUCCUCAGAGCCUCUGCCGUCUGUUGCCCUACAGUUUCUUCCACUUGGCUGUGCUUUCUGUGCCUGGAUGCUGUGUCCUCAUUUCAGCACUGACCUCCCCCAACUCCCCGUAAGUCAAGCGGCACCCACCGCUGAACUUGAUGUUCCCCAUCUUGGCGGUGGGACAUUUGAGUGUUCAGACAGAAGAUAGUCUCUUUCUUACAUCAAGGUUGGCUUAGCUUGGAAAAGUCAAGUAAGCAAAUUGAUUCACCUAUGCCUCUUUUUUCUUUAUAAUAGUUAAUAUUAAUAAAAU
Molecule: long non-coding RNA, 1581 nt
Filed under: Chinchilla lanigera (long-tailed chinchilla)
Lineage: Eukaryota; Metazoa; Chordata; Mammalia; Rodentia; Chinchillidae
Description: lncRNA (ENSCLAG00000026455.1)
Source: RNAcentral